This 817-nucleotide long non-coding RNA is filed under the name Linum usitatissimum (flax). RNAcentral describes it as "long non-coding RNA (LUSI_LNC003172)". Lineage: Eukaryota; Viridiplantae; Streptophyta; Magnoliopsida; Malpighiales; Linaceae. The record is from RNAcentral.
ACUUGGACAGAUGGAGCUCACUGUGUUUGGAGUCCUAUCAUGGUUUCUGGAGAUUUCAAGAUUGUUCAUUGAUACGUAUGCCAGGAUUUUAUUUUUCCUCGUAUUCAUGUCUUUCUUUUUGAUACCCUAUCACCUCAUCGAUCUAUCGCCGAUCAAGUCAGUAUGACCGGACUAAUCAUAUAUAUGUGUGUAAUCAAGUAGGAGCCUUCUUUUAUGAUGGUCAAGAGUGUAUACGAUCACAGGGGCAUUUGAACUUCUAAGAUAACAAAUUCGCGACCCCAAAGAGCCGAUGUAUGCAUGAACAAGUGGCAAUGAAGAUGAAAGAACUCCUCGAGAGUGGGUGGUCACUUCUUAUUGCCAGCUGCAGCAAGGGGUCAGGUGUCCACAUUCCGCACUAAAUUUUGCGACAUAAGAGAACCAACAGAGUUGCAUCACAGAGAUCGCAAAACUGUUCCCAACCUAUGUUCUGGCUGACCCUGAAAUGCCAGGUUAGCCAACAGAUUUUAGCACCAUAGAUACUAGAUGGAUAUCAAUCACAAAGCCAAACAAAGAGAAAAAUCAGAUGUCACCUUCCAAUCUUUAGUGAGUCCAAAUGGUAACUACUCGACCUGGUUGAAAAAUAGGAAGCCUCUCACUGGACAUCUAUUUGAAUCUAUGGAUACACCUAGCUAAUUUUCUCGCAUAAGCUUUGGUAACAGUCUAGGUACUAGUCAUGAGUUGUACUCUUACUUCUUGGCAUACAUUGUCCAGCCAUGUUCAAAGCAGGUGUACCAUGUCAUUUUCGAGCAUGUUCAAACUCAUAGUACCUUGGUACGAA